CUAGGGUAUGGAGAUAAAGUACCAGUCACUGGACUAGGAAAAUUGAUUGGGGUUACGUGUGCACUAUGUGGUGUUGUUAUUAUAGCACUGCCAAUAUCUGUUGUGGGAAAUAAU
Molecule: non-coding RNA, 114 nt
Organism: Paramuricea clavata
Lineage: Eukaryota; Metazoa; Cnidaria; Anthozoa; Malacalcyonacea; Plexauridae
Source: the annotation of a GenBank genome assembly